UACGUAGGUGACUAGCGUUGUUCGGAUUUAUUGGGCGUAAAGGGUCCGCAGGGGGCUGAUUAAGUCUGAUGUGAAAUACCAAGGCUCAACCUUGGAACUGCAUUGGAAACUGAUUGGCUAGAGCAUCGGAGAGGAGAUUGGAAUUCCUGGUGUAGCGGUGGAAUGCGUAGAUAUCAGGAGGAACACCAAAGGCGAAGGCAGAUCUCUGGACGAUUGCUGACCCUCAGGGACGAAAGCAUGGGGAU
RNAcentral lists this ribosomal RNA (245 nucleotides) under uncultured bacterium. RNAcentral describes it as "partial 16S ribosomal RNA". It matches the Rfam family "Bacterial small subunit ribosomal RNA", at positions 524 to 768 of the family's 1533-position model. The record is from RNAcentral.